CCUACGUGUGGCAGCAGUGGGGGAUAUUGCACAAUGUGGGAAACCCUGAUGCAGCGACGCCGCGUGUGGGAAGACGGUCCUCUGGAUUGUAAACCACUGUCCCCAGGGACGAAGCUGUCGGUACCUGGUGAGGAAGCUCCGGCUAACUACGUGCCAGCAGCCGCGGUAAUACGUAGGGAGCGAGCGUUUUCCGGAAUUACUGGGUGUAACGGGAGCGUAGGCGGGGAUGCAAGUUGGGUGUCAAAACUACCGGCUCAACUGGUAGUCGCACUCAAAACUGCAGCUCUUGAGUGAAGUAGAGGCAGGCGGAAGUCCUAGUGUAGCGGUGAAAUGCGUAGAUAUUAGGAGGAACGCCAGUGGCGAAGGCGGCCUGCUGGGCUUUUACUGACGCUGAGGCUCGAAAGUGUGGAGAGCAAACAAGAUUAGAUACCCUGGUAGUC
This 440-nucleotide ribosomal RNA is filed under the name uncultured bacterium. Its description in RNAcentral is "partial 16S ribosomal RNA". It matches the Rfam family "Bacterial small subunit ribosomal RNA", at positions 338 to 795 of the family's 1533-position model. The record is from RNAcentral.